AGAAAAAUUGAUGUUACCAA
This 20-nucleotide non-coding RNA is filed under the name Rattus norvegicus (Norway rat). The record is from RNAcentral. Lineage: Eukaryota; Metazoa; Chordata; Mammalia; Rodentia; Muridae.